CCUACGGGAGGCAGCAGUGAGGAAUAUUGCGCAAUGGAGGAAACUCUGACGCAGCAACGCCGCGUGGGGGAUGAAGUUCUAUGGAGCGUAAACCCCUGUAAGCAGGGACGAAAGUUAUGUAUUCGAAUAGGGUACAUAUUUGACGGUACCUGCAGAGUAAGCUCCGGCUAACUCCGUGCCAGCAGCCGCGGUAAUACGGGGGGAGCAAGCGUUGUCCGGAAUUACUGGGCGUAAAGGGCGUGUAGGCGGUUUGAUAAGUCAGAUGUAAAAGCCCCCGGCUUAACCGGGGAUAGUCAUUUGAAACUGUCAGGCUUGAGUGCGAGAGAGGGUAGUGGAAUUCCCAGUGUAGCGGUGAAAUGCGUAGAUAUUGGGAAGAACACCAGUAGCGAAGGCGGCUACCUGGCUCGCAACUGACGCUAAGGCGCGAAAGCGUGGGGAGCAAACAGGAUUAGAUACCCUGGUAGUCCACGCUGUAAACGAUGAACACUAGGUGUUGGUUUGCCGCAGGCUGAUCAGUGCCGCAGUUAACGCAUUAAGUGUUCCGCCUGGGGAGUACGAUCGCAAGGUUGAAACUCAAAGGAAUUGACGG
This 589-nucleotide ribosomal RNA is filed under the name uncultured delta proteobacterium. Its description in RNAcentral is "bacterial SSU rRNA". It matches the Rfam family "Bacterial small subunit ribosomal RNA", at positions 338 to 916 of the family's 1533-position model. Lineage: Bacteria; Deltaproteobacteria. The record is from RNAcentral.